RNAcentral lists this non-coding RNA (46 nucleotides) under Trichobilharzia regenti. The record is from RNAcentral. Lineage: Eukaryota; Metazoa; Platyhelminthes; Trematoda; Strigeidida; Schistosomatidae.
GAACUGCUGAAGAGUCCCAAACUAGGGCGAAACAGCCGUCCGGUUC